Trichomycterus rosablanca is the source of this 90-nucleotide small nucleolar RNA. RefSeq annotates it as small nucleolar SNORD12/SNORD106. The record is from RefSeq and is a predicted model, not a curated record. The transcript has a single exon. Lineage: Eukaryota; Metazoa; Chordata; Actinopteri; Siluriformes; Trichomycteridae.
AGUGGUGUAAAUGAUGACUAAACUUUUUUCCCCAGCAGAUCGACUAUGUUGACUGUUCUGUGUUUAAGCCAAAUAUUCUGAUACACCACU